CGGGCGGGCUCUGUACGGCUGGCCGCCGUGAACCAUGUCAGGCGGGGAACCGAGCAGCAUUAAGCGGAUUGGCCGGUGCGAUGCAGGUUGUGUCUGUUCGUCCG
This 104-nucleotide signal recognition particle RNA is filed under the name Clostridium sp. MSTE9. RNAcentral describes it as "Bacterial signal recognition particle RNA". It matches the Rfam family "Bacterial small signal recognition particle RNA". From Rfam's summary of the family: The signal recognition particle (SRP) is a universally conserved ribonucleoprotein involved in the co-translational targeting of proteins to membranes. The record is from RNAcentral. Lineage: Bacteria; Bacillati; Bacillota; Clostridia; Eubacteriales; Clostridiaceae.